RNAcentral lists this small RNA (220 nucleotides) under Ketogulonicigenium vulgare. RNAcentral describes it as "Manganese sequence". The stretch from base 1 to 148 matches the Rfam family "Manganese Mn2+ riboswitch aptamer (yybP-ykoY)". From Rfam's summary of the family: This RNA was originally discovered in E. coli during a large scale screen and was named SraF. The family was later found to exist upstream of related families of protein genes in many bacteria, including the the yybP and ykoK genes in B. subtilis. Lineage: Bacteria; Pseudomonadati; Pseudomonadota; Alphaproteobacteria; Rhodobacterales; Roseobacteraceae. The record is from RNAcentral.
AUCGCCCGCAUCGGGGAGUAGCGACCGCAUCAUCUGAUGUGGGGGCAUGUCAACAUAUUCGCGCGGGAGACGCGCGUGGCAUGUCCGGCAAUGAGGCUUUGCGAGACCGUGGCGAAGGGACCCUGCGGGCGGGGUCCGUCUAUCGCCCGGAUCUGCCCUUAUGGAAUUUCAAAUGACACCUGUAGCUGUCGGCGUUUUGGCCGUCUCGAUGUCCGUUGAU